Molecule: transfer RNA, 82 nt
Filed under: Monosiga brevicollis
Lineage: Eukaryota; Choanoflagellata; Craspedida; Salpingoecidae
Rfam family: tRNA
About the family: Transfer RNA (tRNA) molecules are approximately 80 nucleotides in length. Their secondary structure includes four short double-helical elements and three loops (D, anti-codon, and T loops).
Source: Rfam by way of RNAcentral
GACAGCUUGGCCGAGUGGUUAAGGCGUGAGACUUGAAAUCUCAUGGGCUCUGCCCGCGUAGGUUCGAACCCUGCAGCUGUCG